GGUUGUUUUUGUGCCUUAAUAAUUUAAAUUGUCAUUUGAAAACCAAAUUUAGUAUUGCCUUGGGAUGCCUCUGUUUGAUAUUAAAAUCGGUUUGUUGAACUGUAACUCGUGUGUGAUAAAUAUUCCAAGAACGCAGUCAACAGGACGGGGGCAAAUAUUUUCACACGGCACUGUAUAAAAGAAUAAAUUUGACUAAAGUGAUCAUCAAUUGGAAGAAGCUUCAACUGACAAGUCGACAACAGUCUGCUGUGGUGAACACGACAAUGAAGUGGUUGAUCUUGGCUUUCUGCGUCGCCGUGCUGGUCAUAGCUGGUGAAGCUGUGAAAUGCCAAUCCUGUAUACCAUGGUUGAUGCCAUAUUGUAUUCCUCAAACGGUCGAGUGCGCCCCCGGCCAAGUCUGCGGUAAAUCCCAAUGGGAUGGGUGCACAUCGCCGUGACAGUGACAGCGGACAAGCCCUCAACUUCAAGUGCUCCAGAAUGGACCACAGCGACCAUCCUUUUAUAAAAGUAUAAAAAAAAAAAAAAAAAAGUAUCCCUGUAGUUUAGUUGGAAAGCAUUAAAAAAUGUCAUAA
Molecule: long non-coding RNA, 572 nt
Organism: Hippocampus zosterae (dwarf seahorse)
Lineage: Eukaryota; Metazoa; Chordata; Actinopteri; Syngnathiformes; Syngnathidae
Exons: 3
Source: RefSeq, a predicted model, not a curated record